Molecule: transfer RNA, 69 nt
Filed under: Caudoviricetes sp.
Lineage: Duplodnaviria; Heunggongvirae; Uroviricota; Caudoviricetes
Description: tRNA-Leu
Rfam family: tRNA
About the family: Transfer RNA (tRNA) molecules are approximately 80 nucleotides in length. Their secondary structure includes four short double-helical elements and three loops (D, anti-codon, and T loops).
Source: RNAcentral
CGGGGUAUAUGGACAUAUGUUGCUUGGUUCGGGACCAAGAGGCCAUGGGUUCAAGUCCCGUCACUCCGA